RNAcentral lists this ribosomal RNA (393 nucleotides) under uncultured bacterium. RNAcentral describes it as "bacterial SSU rRNA". It matches the Rfam family "Bacterial small subunit ribosomal RNA", at positions 505 to 898 of the family's 1533-position model. The record is from RNAcentral.
GUGUCAGCAGCCGCGGUAAUACGUAGGGUGCGAGCGUUAAUCGGAAUUACUGGGCGUAAAGCGUGCGCAGGCGGUUGUGCAAGACAGAGGUGAAAUCCCCGGGCUUAACCUGGGAACUGCCUUUGUGACUGCAUGGCUAGAGUGUGUCAGAGGGGGGUAGAAUUCCACGUGUAGCAGUGAAAUGCGUAGAUAUGUGGAGGAAUACCGAUGGCGAAGGCAGCCCCCUGGGAUAACACUGACGCUCAUGCACGAAAGCGUGGGGAGCAAACAGGAUUAGAUACCCUGGUAGUCCACGCCCUAAACGAUGUCAACUAGUUGUCGGGUCUUAAUUGACUUGGUAACGCAGCUAACGCGUGAAGUUGACCGCCUGGGGAGUACGGUCGCAAGAUUAAA